RNAcentral lists this ribosomal RNA (270 nucleotides) under uncultured archaeon. RNAcentral's name for it is "partial 16S ribosomal RNA". It matches the Rfam family "Archaeal small subunit ribosomal RNA", at positions 477 to 747 of the family's 1478-position model. The record is from RNAcentral.
CAGCACCUCAAGUGGUCAGGAUGAUUAUUGGGCCUAAAGCAUCCGUAGCCGGCGCUGUAAGUUUUCGGUUAAAUCUGUACGCUCAACGUACAGGCUGCCGGGAAUACUGCAGCGCUAGGGAGUGGGAGAGGUAGACGGUACUCGGUAGGAAGGGGUAAAAUCCUUUGAUCUAUUGAUGACCACCUGUGGCGAAGGCGGUCUACCAGAACACGUCCGACGGUGAGGGAUGAAAGCUGGGGGAGCAAACCGGAUUAGAGACCCCCGUAGUCC